Molecule: small nuclear RNA, 196 nt
Organism: Hyla sarda
Lineage: Eukaryota; Metazoa; Chordata; Amphibia; Anura; Hylidae
Product: U2 spliceosomal RNA
Exons: 1
Source: RefSeq, a predicted model, not a curated record
AUUGCUUCUCUGCCUUUUGGCUACGAUCAAGACAUGUGUAUUAUCUGUUCUUAUCAGUUUAAUAUCUGAUAUGUACCCAAUCUGGGGACUAUAUAAUAAAUGGAUUUUUGAGAAUGGGGGCCGAUUUUGAAUCUUGCUUCCUUCACCCUAUGCAUUGACUUAAUAUGGCAGUAUCGUCGGGUAUAGUGCAAAAAAA